RNAcentral lists this non-coding RNA (28 nucleotides) under Cricetulus griseus (Chinese hamster). Lineage: Eukaryota; Metazoa; Chordata; Mammalia; Rodentia; Cricetidae. The record is from RNAcentral.
GUAAGAGAUAGGGUACAUGGGUAGGAGG